GUAGGUGGCAAGCGUUGUCCGGAAUUAUUGGGCGUAAAGCGCGCGCAGGCGGUUCUUUAAGUCUGAUGUGAAAGCCCACGGCUCAACCGUGGAGGGUCAUUGGAAACUGGAGAACUUGAGUACAGAAGAGGAAAGCGGAAUUCCACGUGUAGCGGUGAAAUGCGUAGAGAUGUGGAGGAACACCAGUGGCGAAGGCGGCUUUCUGGUCUGUAACUGACGCUGAGGCGCGAAAGCGUGGCGAGCAAACAGGAUUAGAUACCCUGGUAGUCCACGCCGUAAACGAUGAGUGCUAAGUGUUAGGGGGUUUCCGCCCCUUACGUGCUGCAGCUAACGCAUUAAGCACUCCGCCCUGGGAGUACGGCCGCAAGGCUG
Molecule: ribosomal RNA, 372 nt
Filed under: uncultured organism
Description: partial 16S ribosomal RNA
Rfam family: Bacterial small subunit ribosomal RNA
Source: RNAcentral